RNAcentral lists this ribosomal RNA (500 nucleotides) under uncultured bacterium. Its description in RNAcentral is "bacterial SSU rRNA". It matches the Rfam family "Bacterial small subunit ribosomal RNA", at positions 29 to 512 of the family's 1533-position model. The record is from RNAcentral.
AACGAACGCUGGCGGCGCGCCUAAUACAUGCAAGUCGAGCGAGAAGGUGUAGCAAUACACUUGUAAAGCGGCGAACGGGUGAGGAAUACAUGGGUAAUCUACCAUCGAGUGGGGAAUAACCAGCCGAAAGGUUGGCUAAUACCGCGUACGCCUCCGAAUCUUCGGGUUCGGAGGGAAAGCCACACUGUGAGUGCGGCGCUCUUUGAUGAGCUCAUGUCCUAUCAGCUUGUUGGUAGGGUAACGGCCUACCAAGGCUUUGACGGGUAGCUGGUCUGAGAGGACGACCAGCCACACUGGGACUGAGACACGGCCCAGACUCCUACGGGAGGCAGCAGUGGGGAAUUUUGGACAAUGGGCGCAAGCCUGAUCCAGCCAUUCCGCGUGCAGGAUGAAGGCCCUCGGGUUGUAAACUGCUUUUGUACGGAACGAAACGGCGCUCUCUAAUACAGGGCGCUAAUGACGGUACCGUAAGAAUAAGCACCGGCUAACUACGUGCCAGC